CCUACGGGAGGCAGCAGUGGGGAAUUUUGGACAAUGGGCGAAAGCCUGAUCCAGCAAUGCCGCGUGAGUGAAGAAGGCCUUCGGGUUGUAAAGCUCUUUUGUCAGGGAAGAAACGGGUGCGGGCUAAUAUCCUGCACUAAUGACGGUACCUGAAGAAUAAGCACCGGCUAACUACGUGCCAGCAGCCGCGGUAAUACGUAGGGUGCAAGCGUUAAUCGGAAUUACUGGGCGUAAAGCGUGCGCAGGCGGUUUUGUAAGUCUGUCGUGAAAUCCCCGGGCUCAACCUGGGAAUUGCGAUGGAGACUGCAAGGCUAGAAUCUGGCAGAGGGGGGUAGAAUUCCACGUGUAGCAGUGAAAUGCGUAGAGAUGUGGAGGAACACCGAUGGCGAAGGCAGCCCCCUGGGUCAAGAUUGACGCUCAUGCACGAAAGCGUGGGGAGCAAACAGGAUUAGAUACCCUGGCAGUCCACGCCCUAAACGAUGUCUACUAGUUGUCGGGUUUUAAUUAACUUGGUAACGCAGCUAACGCGUGAAGUAGACCGCCUGGGGAUACGGUGCAAGAUUAAAACUCAAAAGGAAUUGAACGGCGNGAGACGAGACGACGGACGACGACGAGGGAGGAGG
Molecule: ribosomal RNA, 623 nt
Filed under: uncultured bacterium
Lineage: Bacteria
Description: bacterial SSU rRNA
Rfam family: Bacterial small subunit ribosomal RNA
Source: RNAcentral